UUGAAGAGCUGGGCAAGCAGACCGCCGACUUGUCGGAGAGCCGGAAAGCCAACGAUGUUCUUCAAUAGCAUCUGAGCAAAGCCAACUCCGUGUUGCGCGCCAAGGGGGAGGAGUGCAGCAAGCUCGCCACAGAGCGUGAUCUGCUGGCCACACAAUUGGCAGAGCAGAGGGACCUGCUUGCGAAUACGCAAAAGGAGGCGGAAGAGGCGGAAGCCUCCCUCCUGGGCGAGUUCGCGAGCGAGCGCUCCUCCUGGACUGACAAAGAGGCAAUGCUGGCCUCCGGCUUCCAUGAGAUUGAAGACAUUGUUGAUGACUUCUUUCCCGGGCAUUCGUAGGCUGCCAUCCAAGCCAUCAAGGCAGAUCGUGAAGGUCGGAGGGCGGAAGGCGCAGAGAUCACCGCCGACGCUCCCCGAACCCUUGAUGAGCAUAUCCUGAGCAUCGAGGCUUGCCUUCGGCCGACUCACCGGAUGCUGCGCUGGCUUCAACGUGUCGGCGCCCAGGCGAUUGCCGCCCUGUGG
Triticum dicoccoides is the source of this 518-nucleotide long non-coding RNA. RefSeq lists it as uncharacterized. NCBI's taxonomy places the organism in Eukaryota, Viridiplantae, Streptophyta, Magnoliopsida, Poales, Poaceae. The record is from RefSeq and is a predicted model, not a curated record. The transcript has 3 exons.